This 145-nucleotide microRNA precursor is filed under the name Tursiops truncatus (common bottlenose dolphin). RNAcentral describes it as "miRNA (ENSTTRG00000023521.1)". The stretch from base 46 to 97 matches the Rfam family "mir-1302 microRNA precursor family". Lineage: Eukaryota; Metazoa; Chordata; Mammalia; Artiodactyla; Delphinidae. The record is from RNAcentral.
CAGAAUACCCAGUUAAAUUCUAUUUUCAGGUGAACAACCAAUAAAUAUUUAGUGUAAGCAUGUCUCAUGCAAUAUUUGGUACAUACUUAUACUAAAAAAAAAUUCAUCAUUAUUUGAAAUUCAGAUUUAACUGGGAAAUCCUAUA